RNAcentral lists this ribosomal RNA (737 nucleotides) under uncultured bacterium. RNAcentral describes it as "bacterial SSU rRNA". It matches the Rfam family "Bacterial small subunit ribosomal RNA", at positions 678 to 1395 of the family's 1533-position model. The record is from RNAcentral.
GGUGAAAAUGGCGUAGAUAUAUGGAAGGAACACCCGGUGGGGGAAAGGCGGCUUUGUGGACUGUAACUGACCGCUGAGGCUUCGAAAAGCGUGGGGGAGCCAAACCAGGAAUUAGGAUUACCCUUGGUAGUUCCACGCCGUAAAACGAUGAGUUGCUUAGAUGUUUCGGGGGUAUCCACCCCUUGAGUGUCGCAGCUCAUGCAUUAAGCAUUCCGCCUGGGGAGUACGACCGCAAGGUUUGAAAACUCAAAGGAAUUGACGGGGGCCCGCACAAGCGGUGGAGCAGUGGUUUAAUUCGAAGCAACGCGAAGAACCUUACCAGGUCUUGACAUCCCUCUGAUCGCCCUAGAGAUAGGGUUUCCCUUCGGGGCAGAGGUGACAGGUGGUGCAUGGUUGUCGUCAGCUCGUGUCGUGAGAUGUUGGGUUAAGUCCCGCAACGAGCGCAACCCCUAUUGUUAGUUGCCAUCAUUAAGUUGGGCACUCUAGCGAGACCGCCGGUAAUAAACCGGAGGAAGGUGGGGAUGACGUCAAAUCAUCAUGCCCCUUAUGACCUGGGCUACACACGUGCUACAUGGGAAGUACAACGAGUCGCAAGCCGGUGACGGCAAGCUAAUCUCUUAAAGCUUCUCUCAGUUCGGAUUGUAGGCUGCAACUCGCCUACAUGAAGUCGGAAUCGCUAGUAAUCGCGGAUCAGCACGCCGCGGUGAAUACGUUCCCGGGCCUUGUACACACCGCCC